Molecule: ribosomal RNA, 440 nt
Filed under: uncultured bacterium
Lineage: Bacteria
Description: partial 16S ribosomal RNA
Rfam family: Bacterial small subunit ribosomal RNA
Source: RNAcentral
CCUACGGGUGGCUGCAGUGGGGAAUAUUGCACAAUGGGGGAGACCCUGAUGCAGCGAAGCCGCGUGAGUGAAGAAGUAUCUCGGUACGUAAAGCUCUAUCAGCAGGGGAGAAAAUGACGGUACGUGACUAAGAAGCCCCGGCUAACUACGUGCCAGCAGCCGCGGUAAUACGUAGGGUGCAAGCGUUAUCCGGAUUUACUGGGUGUAAAGGGAGCGUAGAGGGCUGGAUAAGUCUGGAGUGAAAGCCUGCGGCUUAACCCCGGAACUGCAUUGGAAACUGGGCGGCUGGAGUGCAGGAGGGGUAGGCGGAAUUCGUAGUGUAGCGGUGAAAUGCGUAGAUAUUAGGAGGAACACCGGUGGCGAAGGCAGCCUACUGGACUGCAACUGACGUUGAUGCUCGAAAGUGUGGGGAGCAAACAGGAUUAGAUACCCUUGUAGUC